AAUAAAAGGGUUCGGCAUAUGCUUGCUCUCUCUCUCUUCUUGGACCCAUAAGGUCAGAGGAGCCAUCACAGAACCCCAAAGAAAAGGCUGCUUUGUUCUAAGUCACCGCUGCUGACCUGACAAAAAACAUGACAGUCAGAGACCAGAACAUUCCAGGUACCAUCCAGCACCUGCUCACUGGAGUCUCAGCCUUGAUGAUUGUCCCUCACUGACACUGAUGUUCACUCUCCCUCCCCUGCCCAGGCCCUUGUCUCUAGCCUCAGAGAUGCUGUUCCCAUCUACCAGGAAUUACUAAACCCUGAAGUGGACAUCUACUGCUGGGUCCAUAGCCAAGCUCAUGUGGAUUCUUAGUUCCCACCAGACAAUGCUGCAUAUGGGCUGAGGGAGGGUCCCACUAGAACCCCAGACCCUCGAUGGUGGCGCUUGAGCCCUGGGAGACUGACACCUGGAGGAGGUGGGGGUCCCUGGGUUUCUGGAGACCCAGACAGGCUGCCCUGGGCUCUGAAUGGCCGGAACCAGGCUGCCUGUGCCCAGGAGAAGGGGCUCCAGGGAGAGGGAAGAGCCCUGUGGGUCACCUGGAAAGGCGCUGAAUAAAGACCCCCUCCCUCCUUC
Ictidomys tridecemlineatus (thirteen-lined ground squirrel) is the source of this 612-nucleotide long non-coding RNA. RefSeq lists it as uncharacterized. NCBI's taxonomy places the organism in Eukaryota, Metazoa, Chordata, Mammalia, Rodentia, Sciuridae. The record is from RefSeq and is a predicted model, not a curated record.